RNAcentral lists this ribosomal RNA (953 nucleotides) under Curvibasidium pallidicorallinum. RNAcentral describes it as "eukaryotic LSU rRNA". The stretch from base 364 to 953 matches the Rfam family "Eukaryotic large subunit ribosomal RNA", at positions 1 to 606 of the family's 3401-position model. Lineage: Eukaryota; Fungi; Basidiomycota; Microbotryomycetes. The record is from RNAcentral.
ACGGAUCUCUUGGCUCUCGCAUCGAUGAAGAACGCAGCGAAAUGUGAUAAGUAAUGUGAAUUGCAGAAUUCAGUGAAUCAUCGAAUCUUUGAACGCACCUUGCGCUCUCUGGUAUUCCGGAGAGCAUGUCUGUUUGAGUGUCAUGAACUCUUCAACCUACCGGUUUCUAGUAAAUCGGAUUAGUGUUUGGAUUCUGAACGCUUGCUGGCCUUUAUUGGCGAAGCUCGUUCGUAAAUGAUUAGCAUCUCAUAUUCGAAAAUCGGAUUGACUCAGUGUAAUAGACUAUUCGCUGAGGACGCUCUUUCGGGAGUGGCCGAGUUUUGUAAAGUAGAAGCUUCUAAUUCUAUUAGUCAACUUUAGAUUAGACCUCAGAUCAGGCAGGAUUACCCGCUGAACUUAAGCAUAUCAAUAAGCGGAGGAAAAGAAACUAACAAGGAUUCCCCUAGUAACGGCGAGUGAAGCGGGAAGAGCUCAAAUUUGUAAUCUGGCACUUUCAGUGUCCGAGUUGUAAUCUCGAGAAGUGUUUUCCGCGCCGGACCGCAUACAAGUCUGUUGGAAUACAGCGUCAUAGUGGUGAGAACCCCGUAACUGAUGCGGAUGCCCGGUGCUUUGUGAUACACUUUCGAAGAGUCGAGUUGUUUGGGAAUGCAGCUCAAAUUGGGUGGUAAAUUCCAUCUAAAGCUAAAUAUUGGCGAGAGACCGAUAGCGAACAAGUACCGUGAGGGAAAGAUGAAAAGCACUUUGGAAAGAGAGUUAACAGUACGUGAAAUUGUUGGAAGGGAAACGAUUGAAGUCAGACUUGUUAUCUGGAGUUCAGCCUUUCGGUGUACUCUCCAGUUUACAGGCCAGCAUCAGUUUUCGGGGCGGGAAAAUCGUAAUUAGAAGGUAGCAGCCUAGCUGUGUUAUAGCUUUUUACUGGAUUCCGCUUUGGGGACUGAGGAACGCAGUGUGCU